GACAGAGGUGCCGAGCGUUAGGCGGAAUCACUGGGCUUAAAGCGUGUGUAGGCGGACUUCUAAGUACCUUGUGAAAUCCCACGGCUCAACCGUGGAACUGCUUGGUAUACUGGUCGUCUUGAGCCACUUAGGGGCAGUCGGAACAGACGGUGGAGCGGUGAAAUGCGUAGAUAUCAUUUGGAACGCCAACGGUGAAAACAGCUCGCUGGGGGUGUGCUGACGCUGAGACACGAAAGCCAGGGGAGCGAACGGG
RNAcentral lists this ribosomal RNA (253 nucleotides) under uncultured bacterium. RNAcentral describes it as "partial 16S ribosomal RNA". It matches the Rfam family "Bacterial small subunit ribosomal RNA", at positions 524 to 776 of the family's 1533-position model. The record is from RNAcentral.